Prionailurus viverrinus (fishing cat) is the source of this 2448-nucleotide long non-coding RNA. RefSeq lists it as uncharacterized. The record is from RefSeq and is a predicted model, not a curated record. The transcript has 3 exons. Lineage: Eukaryota; Metazoa; Chordata; Mammalia; Carnivora; Felidae.
ACCCCAAGGCCCUCACGGUCCAAGAGUGUAUCUAUGUACAUGUCAGUUACAUCCAGGCGAGGCCUUGGGGGCGGGGAGCGGCGGUCAGCCCUACCAGGGGCUUCAAGGUUUUCCAGAAAAGCGUGUAUCUACAAAAUGAAAAUAAAAAUAAGUAACAGCCACCACAGCAGUAAGCAUCGCCCCCAACCCCUCCACCCGUGGCUUCCUUCUGAAUCAUAAAUCAUGAAAGAGAGAUCAGUGACUCCAGCUUUCCUGCCCUUAACAACUGGGACUGAUAAUGCCAAAAAGGAAGAGAAACAAACACGUGAGCCAUACUGCUGCCAGCGGAGGGGUGCGCCCGUGAAGUUCCAGGUUUCUCAUCUGUCUGGCGAAGAAGGGUCUCUGAUCCUCAGGGUUGGUGGUUCUCAAACCUGGCUUGGCAUGAGACUCCCCUGGAUUUGUGGGGCUUUGGGGCUUUUUAUGUUUUGUUUUGUUUUUAUUUUGGUUUUCGUUUUGUGUUUAAUUAAUUCCCACUGCCUAGAGCAGCAUUCUGGUUCUACUGGCCUGGGGCGUGGUCUGAACAGAAGUACUUUAGAAAAACCUUCCUUGUCAUUGGAAUGCGCAGCCCUCCAGCUGCACAUUCCAAUACUGUUCUGUUUCAUGGGAUCCGUGGAUAGGAUUCAUGGGCUAUUACCCUGGCCUGUUUCGUGGGAUACAACUGCCCCCCCCCCCCGCCCCUCCCCGCUCAAACACACACAGUCCACAUUGAGUUGACCGAGUCUCUUUUUUUUGGCCUUGCAUCACUUACUCUUAUUAGCAUUCUGGUCUGUUUCUUCCAGGUGUUGGAAAUUUGCCACCCCUCAUUUUAACACCUUGAUAGCAGGGUUUAUUAUUAUUAUUAUUAUUAUUAUUACAUUUAUGUUUUCAUUAUAAUUUAAAAUCCUGGUUCGGGGCAGGGUGGAGAGCGAGGGGAUGCGCGUUUUGCUUGCCGGGGAACUUCCGGAGCUGAAAACAUUUUUUCCCUGAACUUGGGGAAAGUUCCUCCUCGCGCUCCAGUUUGGUCGGUCCGCUUCAGGCCCACCUGAGCGACCUCAGAUUGCCUUCCUAAGUCCGGCUCCACACUUAGUAUGAGCAGAGCAUUCUUCUUGUUCACCAAAGUGGAACUGGGAUUUCUCUUUCCCUGCGUUUUUCUCGCUCUCCGUGGCCAGCCGUGCUGCCUUUCUGGAUUAUGUUGUACACUUUUCCUUGAGAGAUAGAUGAUCUGUUCUUUGAUUAGACACCCUGACCUUUUACGGGCGUUGAUCAUUGAUCUUGAUCUGGGCUGGAUAGAAAGCUCUUGACUCUGAAAAGUUACUCUGCUGCCAGCACCGCAGGGAAAUUCAAUUUCUGCAUCCGUGUAGCCACGGCAGUAGGAGCUCCUCAAUUAGGAUUUCUCUUGUUAUGAUUUUACUUUUAUUAAGCAGGCUGCAGCCUCUGUUUUCCAGCCCUAGCUUUUAGUUACAGUAAUCAAUUUUUCAGUGUAACUGGCUGUAAUUGUUGGCUUGGAUAUUAAGCUUUCAUGGGCUUAGACAUAGUGUGUUCCCAUGAAGGGGCUUCUCCAUACCUCGCAGACAGAUGGGUAAUAAUAGCAUACAUUAAUACCUCCACAUUGGUUUAUGUGUGUUUGACCACAGUGCAAGCGUAAUUAUUUUUGCCCAGUAAAAGCUAUUAGAGAUCUAUUUGGUAGGUUUUACGAUCAAUAGCUCCUGUGAUAUUUGUGUAGCAGCCACAGAAUAAUCAAUUGAAGGUCAUAUAAAGUAAAUUACCAUCCUCCUAUAAUGAUUCUUUUUUCGAGAUGAGAAUUGGGUUUUAUUAUUUUAUCAGGAGCCUCUCAGCGAUGCAUGCUCUGUCUGUUUGAGAAAAAGAGAUAUAAAAGUUGUGAGCGCGGUGUUUUGAACACGGUAUUAAUAUCCAUUACUGGAAUUUAUGUUAUUGGAUUAUUGAAUUAGUGGAUUCACACUGGAAUUCCUUCAAAACCCUUUCUUAUGUACUCAGUGACACAGUUAAUAACAGUCGGGAGCAAAUGGACGUUUUUUGCUGCAUGGUGGAGUGAGUCACUUUGCAAAAGUCAAUCUUUGUAGCUGUCUCUUUAAAGCAAAUUUAGAGUUGGUUAAAUGUGUUAUAUUGACAGUGUGACCGAGCUUCUCUCUUCAAACCCUUUUGGAGAGUGACUGGUGAACUAAGCAGGAGAUAGAGUCUGGGAUGCUGAAUACUCACGCGCUGUCCACCAGUAGCUCAAGGGGCCGUCUGGACUGGUUCCUCCAACGCCUUCUCGCAGCUCCUGCCCAUUCUUCUGUUGGGCUGUUCGUCUCCAUCUCGACAGUCUAUAUUUAAUCUGCAUGCACUAUAGUAUCUGGAUACACGGUGAUGCCGAAAGGCUGAGGAUGUGUUAUGUCCAGAACAGACGUGGAAAAAAGGGCAAAAACAAGA